GCCGGUAUAGUCAUCGGGCAGGUCGAGUGUCACUCACGAAGUGGUUGUAGUAUGUCUCCAGUCCAUAUCACAGCCAGCUUUGAUGAGCGACAAUUGGCGAACUGGC
This 106-nucleotide microRNA precursor is filed under the name Heliconius melpomene (postman butterfly). RNAcentral's name for it is "microRNA hme-mir-2b precursor". Its record names the gene hme-mir-2b. Lineage: Eukaryota; Metazoa; Arthropoda; Insecta; Lepidoptera; Nymphalidae. The record is from miRBase by way of RNAcentral.